This 160-nucleotide ribosomal RNA is filed under the name Mysmena sp. MYSM-034-MAD. RNAcentral's name for it is "partial 18S ribosomal RNA". It matches the Rfam family "Eukaryotic small subunit ribosomal RNA", at positions 965 to 1123 of the family's 1831-position model. The record is from RNAcentral. Lineage: Eukaryota; Metazoa; Arthropoda; Arachnida; Araneae; Mysmenidae.
UGUUUUCUUUAAUCAAGAACGAAAGUUGGAGGAUCGAAGGCGAUUAGAUACCGCCCUAGUUCCGACCGUUAACGAUGCCAGCCAGCGAUCCGCCUGUGUUACUAAUUUAGACACGGCGGGCAGCUUCCGGGAAACCAAAGCUUUUGGGUUCCGGGGGAAG